This 254-nucleotide ribosomal RNA is filed under the name uncultured bacterium. RNAcentral describes it as "partial 16S ribosomal RNA". It matches the Rfam family "Bacterial small subunit ribosomal RNA", at positions 524 to 776 of the family's 1533-position model. The record is from RNAcentral.
UACGUAGGCAGCAAGCGUUGUUCGGAAUUACUGGGCGUAAAGAGUGUGUAGGCGGUGUUCCAAGUCUGGUGUGAAAUCUCCCGGCUUAACUGGGAGGGUGCAUUAGAAACUGGAAUGCUAGAGGAUGGGAGAGGUAAGCGGAAUUCCUGGUGUAGCGGUGAAAUGCGUAGAUAUCAGGAGGAACACCGGUGGCGAAGGCGGAUCUCUGGGCCAUUACUGACGCUGAGGAGCGAAAGCGUGGGGGAGCGAACAGG